Pantherophis guttatus is the source of this 1600-nucleotide long non-coding RNA. RefSeq lists it as uncharacterized. The record is from RefSeq and is a predicted model, not a curated record. NCBI's taxonomy places the organism in Eukaryota, Metazoa, Chordata, Lepidosauria, Squamata, Colubridae.
UUUUUCAGAUCACGAGAUGGCAGCCAUGUCAGCACCUUUGAGCCUCUCAUCAGAUUAAGCAAGGCCACCCCGAUCCACCAUGCCUUCUCCCUUCUGCAAAUUCCCAGUGAAAAGAUUCUGCAAAGCAUUCGCCAGGGCACUUUGUGAAGCUGCUUGAAGCACCGAGGUCUACACGGGGACUUCACUGUAUCAAUUGAAGAUACUUUCACUGAAAUUUCAGCUCAGUUUCCAGCAAAUCCCAGCAGAAAUCUCUUCUGCAUCUACAUAAGCAAACUGCAAUCAGGAACAUAGGAAGGUUCUCAAGGCAGGUUCAUCAAGCUUUGGAUUGGGCUUAUUGCUUCAAGUAGCAGGUUUGGGUAAAAUUGUAAAUGUUUCAUAAUGUCCUAUAUACUUUUGCUCUCUCUCCAACCCCCUUUUCUCUGCAUACACACAAAACCAACAAAUUUACUUAACAAUAAGUGAGUAAGUAAAAUGUAGUUAUUUGUCAUCUGUCUUUCUAAAUGGCUGUGUAAGAUAAAGAAUUGAACACAAUUCACAUCAUCAAAAUUUCAAUAUAGCUUUCUGAAAUAAUGAAGAGUUAAAUGACAGAUGAAUAUCCAAAGAGGCAUUGUAAUAAGUGUUUGUGUAUAGCUAGAUAGAUAUAUAGCUAUAGAUUAAGCUACAUACACACAAACACAUGUAACAUAUACAUAUAUGUGGGUACUGUAUGUGUGUAGUUUUCCCAAGGAAUGAACCUCAACAGAUCAAUGAUAGUUAUUUUUUUCUCUUUUUUUAAGUCCUCAGAUUGCCCAUCAGCUUUGACUUCAGCAAUGAACAUUUUUCCACACUGACUCAGAUUUGCCCCCCAGUGAUUAAUUAACUAAUGCUAUAGUUGAUUAAUCUACUGAUUAAAGCAUACAGCCCUAAUCAUAAAACAGCAAGAACAUUUUUGUUACUGAAGCUCUGCACUCCAUUUCAACCGUUCAGUGUCGGAGUCAGUUCAGAUAAUAGAGGAAGGGGGCCUUGAUUUAAAAGGCAAGACACCAGCUACAGUGGAAGGGGGAAAGAAGUAACCCAAUUAUCCAGUUGAUUUGAAAUGCUUAAGUAAAAAUGCUGAUGACAUAGCAUUUCAUGCUAAGGAGAUUUAGCCUGCACCUGGAUCGAUAUUGUUGUCCCUUUUCAUUCUGGUUAUAGCUUUUUUCUCUCCCCAAAUUUUCCCUACAUUGUUCUUGAAAGAUCUGUUACCCUUACUAAAACUGCAUGAUUAAUUUUUUUUUUAAAAAAAAGAAAGGUGUAUAUGAUCUAAAGAGAAACCAGUGUGUAUGUGUGGUGUGUGUAUGUGUAUAUGUGUGUAUGUACACACACACACGCACACACAUAUAUAUAAAGUUUUGUCACUGGUCCAGGGAUCUGGAUGCAUGGCAGAACCCAUGUGGUGAUUGUAUUCAUUUGUCAUAGUUGAUUUUGUUUUUAUCUUGGCUAUGGAUUAUAUGUGUUCUUGUUUUAUUUUUUUAACCUACUUAUAUAUAGUUUUACUUGCUGUUAGCCAACCAGAGUCAUGAAUCUGAAAUGGACAGCCAUACAAAUUAAGAUGAGAAAUAAAUGAAUUAUGCAGUUGUAA